GACGAACGCUGGCGGCGUGCCUAAUACAUGCAAGUCGAACGCAGUGGGGACGGGUGAGUAACACGUGGGUAACCUCCCAUCAGAGGGGAUAACACUUGGCAACAGGUGCUAAACCGAUACUGAUGGAUGGACCCGCGGUGCAUUAACUAGUUGGUGGGUUAACGGCUCACCAAGGACACGAAGCAUAGCCGACCGGGUAGGGUGAUGGGCAACACUGGGACUGAGACACGGCACAUACGCCGACGAGAGGCAGCAGUAGGGAAUCUACGGAAAGGGACAAAAGUCGGACCGAGCAACGCCGCGUGAGUGAAGACGGUUUUCGAAUCUAAAACCUCUGUUGUAAGAAAAACGUUAUCUAACCAGAAGGCCACGGCUAACUACGUGCAAGCAGCCGGGGUAAUAC
This 403-nucleotide ribosomal RNA is filed under the name uncultured bacterium. RNAcentral describes it as "partial 16S ribosomal RNA". It matches the Rfam family "Bacterial small subunit ribosomal RNA", at positions 28 to 526 of the family's 1533-position model. The record is from RNAcentral.